GACGAACGCUGGCGGCGUGCCUAAUACAUGCAAGUAGAACGCUGAAGAGAGGAGCUUACUCUUCUUGGGUGAGUUGCGAACGGGUGAGUAACGCGUAGGUAACCUGCCUUGUAGCGGGGGAUAACUAUUGGAAACGAUAGCUAAUACCGCAUAACAAUGGAUGCCACAUGGCAUUUUUUUGAAAGGGGCAAUUGCUCCACUACAAGAUGGACCUGCGUUGUAUUAGCUAGUAGGUGAGGUAAUGGCUCACCUAGGCGACGAUACAUAGCCGACCUGAGAGGGUGGUCGGCCACACUGGGAACGGGAACCGGCCCAGACUCCUUCGGGGGGCAGCAGGAGGGAAUCCUCGGGAAUGGGGGGAACGCUGGCCGAGCAACGCCGCGUGAGUGAAGAAGGGUUUCGGAUCGGAAAGCUCUGUUGUAAGUCAAGAAAGGGUGUGAGAGUGGAAAGUUCACACUGUGACGGUAGCUUACCAGAAAGGGACGGCUAACUACGUG
Molecule: ribosomal RNA, 497 nt
Filed under: uncultured bacterium
Lineage: Bacteria
Description: partial 16S ribosomal RNA
Rfam family: Bacterial small subunit ribosomal RNA
Source: RNAcentral